This 465-nucleotide ribosomal RNA is filed under the name Vreelandella stevensii. RNAcentral describes it as "partial 16S ribosomal RNA". It matches the Rfam family "Bacterial small subunit ribosomal RNA", at positions 338 to 795 of the family's 1533-position model. Lineage: Bacteria; Pseudomonadati; Pseudomonadota; Gammaproteobacteria; Oceanospirillales; Halomonadaceae. The record is from RNAcentral.
CCUACGGGGGUCAGCAGUGGGGAAUAUUGGACAAUGGGGGGAACCCUGAUCCAGCCAUGCCGCGUGUGUGAAGAAGGCCCUCGGGUUGUAAAGCACUUUCAGUGAGGAAGAACGCCUGGUGGUUAAUACCCAUCAGGAAAGACAUCACUCACAGAAGAAGCACCGGCUAACUCCGUGCCAGCAGCCGCGGUAAUACGGAGGGUGCGAGCGUUAAUCGGAAUUACUGGGCGUAAAGCGCGCGUAGGUGGCUUGAUAAGCCGGUUGUGAAAGCCCCGGGCUCAACCUGGGAACGGCAUCCGGAACUGUCAAGCUAGAGUGCAGGAGAGGAAGGUAGAAUUCCCGGUGUAGCGGUGAAAUGCGUAGAGAUCGGGAGGAAUACCAGUGGCGAAGGCGGCCUUCUGGACUGACACUGACACUGAGGUGCGAAAGCGUGGGUAGCAAACAGGAUUAGAUACCCGUGUAGUC